This is a small nucleolar RNA of Ictalurus punctatus (channel catfish), 99 nucleotides long. The record is from Ensembl. NCBI's taxonomy places the organism in Eukaryota, Metazoa, Chordata, Actinopteri, Siluriformes, Ictaluridae.
UUCCUAUGAUGAGCUUACCAUGCUAAUAACGAUGCGCCAGACUGACUGGGUGUAAAUGAGUUCAACUCAACUUCUCACACUCAGUGUGCUCUGAGGAAA